This is a long non-coding RNA of Gossypium arboreum, 689 nucleotides long. RefSeq lists it as uncharacterized. The record is from RefSeq and is a predicted model, not a curated record. Lineage: Eukaryota; Viridiplantae; Streptophyta; Magnoliopsida; Malvales; Malvaceae. The transcript is spliced from 2 exons.
ACGCAGGCUAUCUCUUCCCCUUCCCCAUGCCAUUAAAAUUAAAUAUAACAUUUAUUAAUUUUUUUAAAAAACAUUAAAGAUUUAGAAAACCCAAAACCCUUUUUUUAAAUUCCCUUUUUCCUUAAACAUUUUACCCUUUUGUUUUUAAAAAAAAAAAACCAAAACUUUCUCUUCUUCCUCACUUCCCAGUCGAAGGACUAGAACUCAGCUCUCAUUCGCCGCCUCAUGUGCGGCCGUAAACAGCCAUCGGAAAGCCGAAGUUCUUCCCCUUUUGCCAGCGAAUCGAAAGCCUUUACAAUUAAAAAUCAAAGGCUUUAUAGCCAAAAUACAAGUAGUUUCUGCUGUUUCUUUGUCCAACUUGUUGGCCGUGAAGUUGUGGGGAACGAAGGGCAUGGAGUAUGGGCGCAAACAUGGAGCGGGGCACACAGGGAUAGUGCGUGGAGUGCCGACGUGGGGGUUGCGGCGUGGGUGACCUAGGUUUCUCUAAGUUAGCCAAUUAAACUUAGAUUUUGGGCCAUGGGUAUGGAGCGUGUCUCAUGUAAUUGGGUUAAUAUUUUGUUUUAGGCCCGGGCCAAAAUUAAGUCUUACACCCUAAUUUUAGGAUGUUACAUAUGUAUAGUACAACAAAGUCAAAUCCAAAUAAAAGUUUAAUAAUAAAAUGGAUUUUUACUUUUUAUAAAUAUAUAUAA